CGAGGCCAAAGAUUUGAAAGCCUAAGGCUACC
RNAcentral lists this non-coding RNA (32 nucleotides) under Rattus norvegicus (Norway rat). The record is from RNAcentral. Lineage: Eukaryota; Metazoa; Chordata; Mammalia; Rodentia; Muridae.